UGGGUUGAAAACCGAGGGGAUGACUUGUGGGGAGGACUGAAAGUGUAAUCAAACCAGGAGAUAGCUCGUUCUCUCCGAAAUAGCUUUAGGGCUAGCCUUGUGCCACUAUGCAUCGGGGGUAGAGAUACUGAAUCGGAUGGGGGCCCUUCCCAGGGUACCCCACUGAACCAAACUCCGAAUACCGAUGUAACUAUCACAGGAGUCAGUCUGCGUGGGAUAAGCUGCGUGGUCGAGAGGGAAACAACCCAGAUCGUCGGCUAAGGGCCCAAAGUCAUACUCAGUCACUAAGGAAGUUGAAUUGCUGAGACAGCCAGGAUGUUGGCUUAGAAGCAGCCACCAUUUAAAAAGUGCGUAACAGCUUACUGGUCGAGCAGUUCUGCGCCCAUAAUGAACGGGAGUAAGCAUGACCCCGAAGCCACGGGUUCGAUGAUUCUUCGGAUGAUUCGAGCGGUAGGAGAGCGCUGUACGUCAGAUACGAGCCGUACCGAAAGGAGCGGUGUUGGGGCGUACAGGUGAUUAUGCCGGAAUGAGUAACGAUAAAGCAGGUGAGAAUCCUGCUCGCCGCAAACCCAAGGUUUC
This 579-nucleotide ribosomal RNA is filed under the name Phycisphaerales bacterium. RNAcentral's name for it is "partial 23S ribosomal RNA". It matches the Rfam family "Bacterial large subunit ribosomal RNA", at positions 785 to 1354 of the family's 2925-position model. Lineage: Bacteria; Pseudomonadati; Planctomycetota; Phycisphaerae; Phycisphaerales. The record is from RNAcentral.